RNAcentral lists this ribosomal RNA (213 nucleotides) under Vibrio cholerae. RNAcentral describes it as "partial 23S ribosomal RNA". It matches the Rfam family "Bacterial large subunit ribosomal RNA", at positions 1 to 209 of the family's 2925-position model. The record is from RNAcentral. Lineage: Bacteria; Pseudomonadati; Pseudomonadota; Gammaproteobacteria; Vibrionales; Vibrionaceae.
GUUGUAUGGUUAAGUGACUAAGCGUACACGGUGGAUGCCUGGGCAGUCAGAGGCGAUGAAGGACGUACUAACUUGCGAUAAGCGCAGAUAAGGCAGUAAGAGCCGUUUGAGUCUGCGAUUUCCGAAUGGGGAAACCCAACUGCAUAAGCAGUUACUGUUAACUGAAUACAUAGGUUAACAGAGCAAACCGGGGGAACUGAAACAUCUAAGUAC